RNAcentral lists this ribosomal RNA (624 nucleotides) under uncultured bacterium. RNAcentral's name for it is "bacterial SSU rRNA". It matches the Rfam family "Bacterial small subunit ribosomal RNA", at positions 30 to 648 of the family's 1533-position model. The record is from RNAcentral.
CAAAAGCUGGGCGGCUGCUUUACCAUGCAGUCGAACGGCAGCAUGGGUGCUUGCACCUGAUGGCGAGUGGCGAACGGGUGAGUAAUAUAUCGGAACAUGUCCGGAAGUGGGGGAUAACGCAGCGAAAGUUGCGCUAAUACCGCAUAUGCCCUGAGGGGGAAAGGGGGGGAUCGCAAGACCUCUCGCUUUCGGAGUGGCCGAUAUCGGAUUAGCUAGAUGGUGAGGUAAAGGCUCACCAUGGCGACGAUCCGUAGCUGGUCUGAGAGGACGACCAGCCACACUGGAACUGAGACACGGCCCAGACUCCUACGGGAGGCAGCAGUGGGGAAUUUUGGACAAUGGGGGCAACCCUGAUCCAGCCAUACCGCGUGAGUGAAGAAGGCCUUCGGGUUGUAAAGCUCUUUCAGCCGGAAAGAAACGGUUACGGCUAAUACCCGUGACUAAUGACGGUACCGGCAGAAGAAGCACCGGCUAACUACGUGCCAGCAGCCGCGGUAAUACGUAGGGGUGCGAGCGUUAAUCGGAAUUACUGGGCGUAAAGCGUGCGCAGGCGGUUUUUUGAGCCAGAUGUGAAAUCCCCGGACUUAACCUGGGAACUGCAUUUGGAACUGGAAGGCUAGAGUG